UUGUUCUUGUUUUUCUUCAGAUCUGAUCUUUGGGAGGCUUUAACUGAUAUGCCUGCAGUUCCCUCUACCUAGAAAGCCUUUCUUCCUUUUCACCUGAUCUCACCUUGGCCUAGGUCUCCAAUAUAGCACUUACCAUGGUGUGUAUACACACCAGGCACUCUAUUCAUAAUACUAUUCAGUAUCUGCUUAACAUGUUAUAAAAUUAUCUAUUUUUAACAAAUGCUGGACAUUGUUUUUAUUACAAGUAUAAAGACUGACAGGCUUUGGAUUUUCUCUGUUAAAAAAAAUGUUUAGAGAAAUUUUAAUACCUACCCAGAUAUUUUGCAAGAUGUUCAAAUUCAGGUUUAUUGGCAAUAAGCUCUUCUUUUGUUGGUAUGUUUAUUCCCAUAAAGCAUGGGUAUCUAAUUGGCGGUGAAGCUACUCGAAUGUGUACCUUGGAAAGAAAUCAUUUCACAUAUUAUUCUAACAUAUAUAA
Molecule: long non-coding RNA, 475 nt
Filed under: Lynx pardinus (Iberian lynx)
Lineage: Eukaryota; Metazoa; Chordata; Mammalia; Carnivora; Felidae
Source: RNAcentral